Molecule: long non-coding RNA, 411 nt
Organism: Bubalus bubalis (water buffalo)
Lineage: Eukaryota; Metazoa; Chordata; Mammalia; Artiodactyla; Bovidae
Exons: 2
Source: RefSeq, a predicted model, not a curated record
AGUGGGGAGCCCCAGCUGUAGUGACCCUAGGAGUCCGUCGUGCAGGUGGUGACUGACUCACUCCCAACUCAGAAUUUCCAGAGCUCCCAAUCCUCAUUCAGACAACAGAGACCUUUUUGUGACUGGAUAAUGUGAACCUCCAUUCACAGUGAGAAGCAUUCUCUUCUCAGACUUCUGGCAACUUAGAGCUCUUGGUCUGUUUUGGCCUGCAGAUAUGGAUAUGGAUGAGGUUAACAGAGAGGAAUGAUCCAGGCUGUACCAAUAUGGAGAAAAGAAGAAAGGAAAGAAGAUAAGAAAAUACAAAAAUUCAAAAUCUAAAGGAAAGCAUGAUUAUAAUCAUAAUUUUGCAUUUAUAAAAUUUAGGUAUAAUGGUUGAUGAAUCAAUUUAUAAAAUAAAAGACUAGAAAUGCA